Molecule: ribosomal RNA, 427 nt
Filed under: uncultured prokaryote
Description: bacterial SSU rRNA
Rfam family: Bacterial small subunit ribosomal RNA
Source: RNAcentral
UAGGGAAUUUUCCACAAUGCCCGCAAGGGUGAUGGAGCGACGCCGCGUGAGGGAUGAAGGUCUUCGGAUUGUAAACCUCUUUCGUUUGGGAAUAAGGUUUUGGCACUAACAUUGCCAAAAUUUGACGGUACCGAAGGAAGAAGCUACGGCUAACUCUGUGCCAGCAGCCGCGGUAAUACAGAGGUAGCGAACGUUGUCCGGAUUUACUGGGCGUAAAGGGCUUGUAGGUGGCCAAAUAAGUCAGUUGUGAAGUCGUUCUGCUCAACAGAACAAUUGCUUCUGAUACUGCUUGGCUUGAGUGCAGGAAGGGAAAAUGGAAUUUCCGGUGUAGCGGUGAAAUGCGUAGAUAUCGGAAAGAACACCUGUGGCGAAGGCGGUUUUCUGGCCUGCAACUGACACUGAGGAGCGAAAGCGUGGGGAGCAAACA